UUUGGAAACAAAAAAAAUUUAUGAACCUAAUGUAUACAUUAUCCGCCAGUAAAACAUAGCCGCUAGCAUUAGCCGCCGGGUUUAAAUUCAUAAUUUUUUUUUGUUUCCAAAUAUACUUAAAGUACAAUUUUUGUCAUCCUCGUAUUACUGUUUUAUUAUACACAAACUUACCUUCAUUAUUUUCAAACUUAGGGCAUUAUACGUCAAUCAUCUUACAAUAAUUGCACAUUUAUCUGGUUUUGUGCAUUUUUAACUACCUAUCUUACACAUUUUCUUACACAAUUGUACUUGUGUAAGAAAAAGUGUAAGAACUUUUACAAAAAACCAAGCAACCCAUCACCAUCAAGUGUACUUUUCGGCUUUGACUUUCAAAGUGGGUAGUUUUGCAAGACAUUUUAUUGAUGUGGGUAGAUUUAAUUCCAACCCAAUUUUUUUUCCCCCAAAUCAUAAUCUAUGUCAUUAUUACGUAUAAAUUUAAUUCAAAAUAAAAAGUAUAAAUUAUAUNAUUUUUAUUAAUAUGUUAUAAAUUUUUUAAUUCUGAAUAACCUAAAAAACGUUAUUAUUUUAUGCGUAAUACAGUAAAAUUAGGAGUAAUGAUCUAAAUAGACGAUUAAAUAUAUCUAAAUAUGCUUCAACUAAUAAAAAUUCUAACAACACUCAAACUAUACUCAACUUCUAACAACACUCAACUACACUAUAUCUAACAUAUACGAAACAUAUAAAUAAAUCUAACAUAUACGAAAUAAAAAUUAAAUACUAUAUAUCUAAAUCAAAAUUCAAUACUAUACAAAACAUAUAAAAAUUCGAAACAUAUAAAUUCUAACAUAUACGAAAUAAAAAAUAAAUACUAUAUAUCUAAAUCAAAAUUCAAUAAAUUCAAUACUUUUUCGACAAAUACAAAAAAUGUUUCUAACAUAUACAAAACAUAUAUAACUAACAUAUAUAUCUAACAUUUUCUUACAAAUACAAAACAAAAUUCAAUACUAUAUAUCUAACAUAUAUAGAUUCCCAACAUAUAAAUAUAUCUAACAUAUACAAAACAAAUAACAAAUAAACUCAUCUAACAUAAACACGAUGUAUUCACCAAACAUAUACCAAAUAAUACUUAAAAAUACAGUAUACUUACUUGGUUUGAAGAAGAAGCCAUGGCGUGAAAUGGAUUUGAAGAAAGACCGAAUGAAGUCUAUUCCUUCCUCCCUCAAUUGCCGUCUUUGCCUUCCACUCUCACACGAAAAAAUGAAGUAGCUGUUUCCUUUGAUGAUUGUGCGGCUGCAUGAGACCCCAACACCUAAUUUAACAUAAAUAUAGUGUUAAUGGGCCCUACCCAAUUUAGGCCUUAUCACAUCUUCAUUUUGUGGUCAAAGAAAUCCCACAAAAGCCGUGCCCGCUCAAUUCAUGCUUCCAAAUUCCAAUACCCGUGAAUUUGCUGCAAAGCCUAUAGAUUCCCACCAUAUAAAGUUUCCCCCUAGCCGUUUGAAUUUUCCAAUCACGCUUGACUUAGACUUAGGUCUUCAAAUUUGAAAAAAAUACAACAAACAUUAAUAUGAAGUCUAAUAAAUAAAAUUUAUGUAUAUUGUGAUAUAAAAUCCAAUUAUGAAUGAAAUGGUAUACGAAGGCCGCCAGUAAAACAUAGCCGCUGGCUGUAGCCGCUACGGGUUUCUUACACGCGGCUACGCCUUUCGGAUACUAAAUACUGGCGGCUACGUAUGUGGUAAGCUCUCUAAUGUUUUAUUGUUUCAUAAUAUAUGAGUUUAGAUUUUUUUUUAUCCAAUAUUUUCUAUUAUUUUAUGUGUUACGCUAUAUUAAUUCAUGUUAAAUCAAAUAAAAUCAAAAAAUUGAGACUUAUUACCUCACCAUAAUCCAAAUUUGUCAAUCUCCUUCUCUAUUAUGUAUUUCUACUUCAGAAAAUAUAUUUUAAAAAAAGAAAUACAAAAUGAGGAUACGUUUGUGUAUAAUAAAACAGUAAUACGAGAGCUGAAAAAUUCAAAUUUAAGUAUAUUGUGAAUAAAAAAAAAAUUCUGCACCUAAUGGAUAAAAUAGCCUCCAAUAAAAAAUAGCCGCUGGGAUAAAACACCCGCGGCUAUUGUGAGCGGCUAUUGUAUGAAUUAAGUUCAGAAGUUUCUUGUGAUUCCAAAUAUACUUAAAUUACAAUUUUUUACAUCGUCGUAUUACUGUUUUAUUAUACACAAACUUACCUUCAUUAUUUUCAAAUUUAGGGCAUUUUACCUCACGUGGCUUUACAAUAAUUGCACAUUUAUCUGGUUUUGUGCAUUUUUAACUACCUAUCUUACACAUUUUCUUACACAAUUGUACUUGUGUAAGAAAAGUGUA
RNAcentral lists this long non-coding RNA (2331 nucleotides) under Salvia miltiorrhiza (redroot sage). RNAcentral's name for it is "long non-coding RNA (SMIL_LNC005877)". The record is from RNAcentral. Lineage: Eukaryota; Viridiplantae; Streptophyta; Magnoliopsida; Lamiales; Lamiaceae.